RNAcentral lists this ribosomal RNA (273 nucleotides) under Prochlorococcus marinus str. AS9601. RNAcentral's name for it is "partial 16S ribosomal RNA". It matches the Rfam family "Bacterial small subunit ribosomal RNA", at positions 1262 to 1533 of the family's 1533-position model. Lineage: Bacteria; Bacillati; Cyanobacteriota; Cyanophyceae; Synechococcales; Prochlorococcaceae. The record is from RNAcentral.
AGCUAGCAAAUCCCAUAAACCGUGGCUCAGUUCAGAUCGUAGGCUGCAACUCGCCUACGUGAAGUAGGAAUCGCUAGUAAUCGCAGGUCAGCAUACUGCGGUGAAUACGUUCCCGGGCCUUGUACACACCGCCCGUCACACCAUGGAAGUUGGCCAUGCCCGAAGUCGUUACUCCAACCCUUGUGGAGGAGGACGCCGAAGGUGGGGCUAAUGACUGGGGUGAAGUCGUAACAAGGUAGCCGUACCGGAAGGUGCGGCUGGAUCACCUCCUAA